AGAUGAGGAGCUUGCUCUUCAAAUCGAGUGGCGAACGGGUGAGUAACGCGUGGGUAACCUGCCUCAUACAGGGGGAUAACAGUUAGAAAUGACUGCUAAUACCGCAUAAGACCACAGCACUGCAUGGUGCAGGGGUAAAAACUCCGGUGGUAUGAGAUGGACCCGCGUCUGAUUAGUUAGUUGGUGGGGUAACGGCUUACCAAGGCGACGAUCAGUAGCCGGACUGAGAGGUUGACCGGCCACAUUGGGACUGAGAUACGGCCCAGACUCC
Molecule: ribosomal RNA, 271 nt
Filed under: uncultured Eubacteriales bacterium
Lineage: Bacteria; Bacillati; Bacillota; Clostridia; Eubacteriales
Description: uncultured Clostridiales bacterium partial 16S ribosomal RNA
Rfam family: Bacterial small subunit ribosomal RNA
Source: RNAcentral